This 254-nucleotide ribosomal RNA is filed under the name uncultured bacterium. Its description in RNAcentral is "partial 16S ribosomal RNA". It matches the Rfam family "Bacterial small subunit ribosomal RNA", at positions 524 to 776 of the family's 1533-position model. The record is from RNAcentral.
UACAGAGGUCCCAAGCGUUGUUCGGAUUCACUGGGCGUAAAGGGUGCGUAGGUGGUGAGGUAAGUCGGAUGUGAAAUCUCCGGGCUCAACCCGGAAAUGGCAUUGGAAACUACCUUGCUUGAGGAUUUGAGGGGGGGAUUGGAAUACUUGGUGUAGCAGUGAAAUGCGUAGAUAUCAAGUGGAACACCAGUGGCGAAGGCGAAUCCCUGGAAAAUACCUGACACUGAGGCACGAAAGCUAGGGGAGCAAACAGG